ACGUCGUUGUCAUUCCCUGUGGCCCCCCUGGCUUUAUGCAGAGCCGCCUGAAUACGGAAGUGAGUCCGGGAUUCCAUGGAGUAGUUUUUGUAAUUUUGCCUGAAACGUGACAACACAGACAUUUGUGAUCACAAAACAGACAUCGUCCAGAACUGACCAGUGGAGCAGCAGGGAGAGGGAUGGGGUUUUCUACGAGGUAGCGACGGGCUUUCCUGAUAGCAAACUUCUCCGUUGGUAAAGACUUUCCAGCUAUUUUCUGUUUAAGCCCUGGAACCUGCCUG
Molecule: long non-coding RNA, 281 nt
Organism: Cynoglossus semilaevis (tongue sole)
Lineage: Eukaryota; Metazoa; Chordata; Actinopteri; Pleuronectiformes; Cynoglossidae
Exons: 2
Source: RefSeq, a predicted model, not a curated record